UACAGAGGUCCCAAGCGUUGUUCGGAUUCAUUGGGCGUAAAGGGUGCGUAGGCGGCGCGGUAAGUCGGGUGUGAAAUCUCGGAGCUUAACUCCGAAACUGCAUUCGAUACUGCCGUGCUUGAGGACUGGAGAGGAGACUGGAAUUUACGGUGUAGCGGUGAAAUGCGUAGAUAUCGUAAGGAAGACCAGUGGCGAAGGCGGGUCUCUGGACAGUUCCUGACGCUGAGGCACGAAGGCCAGGGGAGCAAACGGG
This 253-nucleotide ribosomal RNA is filed under the name uncultured bacterium. Its description in RNAcentral is "partial 16S ribosomal RNA". It matches the Rfam family "Bacterial small subunit ribosomal RNA", at positions 524 to 776 of the family's 1533-position model. The record is from RNAcentral.